GCAGCAGCGGGCGUGCGGAGCCUGCGAGUGUGACGCGGCCGCCUUCUCGGAUCCCAGUUCCAAAAGCUCUGUUUUGAGUUCUCCAGGCUUUGGUGAAAUUUCAGGUAUGGGCAAGUCCAGUCGAUAGUACCUGUGCACCACUUCUGUCCCUGCGCACAUGGCCAGGAGGCUGGCUGCGAGCAUUUUCAGUAUAGUCGGUGGAGUUCAUCAGGACACACAAGAGGCACAGAAUACCAAUGUCUUGGGAAAACCAGAAAGAGAUGUCUAAGCAGAGCAAGCCAAAAGUUCCUGGUGACCAAAGGAGGGACAAAAAAACAGACAAGAGAAAAUAUAUUGAAGAAUAGCAGCAGAUUCCUGAAUUCAACACAGCAGUUUUCACAACUACAUUACAGCAUCAUAAAGAUGAAGUGGCUGGUGACAUAUUCGACAUGCUGCCCACCUUUACUGAUGUUUUAGCUUUUAUAGAAAUGCUUUUGGACUACAGAGCAGAAAAAGAAGGCUGGGUCACAACAAAGUCACCACUGGACUUAAACUGUGUUCCAGUGGUGACUUUGAACAGGAAACAUGUAUAUAAUCUCUAGAAAGAAGAAAAAACAUAGUAGUUCAAUUCCCAAUGGGUACCUUUGAAUAUUUCAAUAUUAAAAAUAAGAAUCUGUACUGAAAAUAAAUGAAUCAUCUGUGAUGGAGGGAGGAGGUGAUAUGAACAAGAUGGAAGUAAAAUACCACAAAAAAGAACCCCAUUUUAGUGGGGAGGUAUAUGAUUAAAUUUCAAAUAUUUCCUAGUUUUUGUAUUGUUCAGAAAGUGUAUAUAAAUGUGAUUAACUUUUGACUUUUAGUAAGCAAAUAAGUAAAAUUUUAAGUUAUACAAAUCAUCUGUACCAGCUUUUCCAGAUUGUCACAGAACAAUCUGCGACACUAGGUCCUACCUCCAACCAAUAAAUGGGAUCAUUCUGGAUGUCACCGGCCCAAUUAGCCAACAGACUCUGCCCAUGAUGAUGACAGAAGAAUACGUCUUAGAAAGACUAACUCUGUUCUGCAAUUCUUCAUUCAUGCUAAGUAUUGAUAGGUCAAAACCAAAAUGACCUAACCUUCUUAGACCUAUUUCUCCUGAAACGCCUUAUUGUAUUCAUUAACCUUAAUAUUCCUUCCCACUUAGUAAACUGGUACUUCUCCCCUCCUCAAGUAGACACCUCUCUCGGGUGUUUCUGAGUUAGACUCCUCUGGAG
This 1226-nucleotide long non-coding RNA is filed under the name Aotus nancymaae (Ma's night monkey). RNAcentral describes it as "lncRNA (ENSANAG00000039189.1)". The record is from RNAcentral. Lineage: Eukaryota; Metazoa; Chordata; Mammalia; Primates; Aotidae.